This 412-nucleotide ribosomal RNA is filed under the name uncultured bacterium. RNAcentral's name for it is "bacterial SSU rRNA". It matches the Rfam family "Bacterial small subunit ribosomal RNA", at positions 28 to 423 of the family's 1533-position model. The record is from RNAcentral.
GAUGAACGCUGGCGGCGUGCUUAACACAUGCAAGUCGAGCGAAGCGCUUAAACGGAUUUCUUCGGAUUGAAGUUUUUGUGACUGAGCGGCGGACGGGUGAGUAACGCGUGGGUAACCUGCCUCAUACAGGGGGAUAACAGUUAGAAACGGCUGCUAAUACCGCAUAAGCGCACAGUACCGCAUGGUACCGUGUGAAAAACUCCGGUGGUAUGAGAUGGACCCGCGUCUGAUUAGGUAGUUGGUGGGGUAACGGCCUACCAAGCCGACGAUCAGUAGCCGACCUGAGAGGUGACCGGCACAUUGGGACUGAGACACGGGCCCAAACUCCUACGGGAGGCAGCAGUGGGGAAUAUUGCACAAUGGGGGAAACCCUGAUGCAGCGACGCCGCGUGAGCGAUGAAGUAUUUCGGGU